GCCGAUGAUGAUAAGACCUAUCUGAAAUAUGAUGAACCCUAUGAGUACUGAGG
This 53-nucleotide small nucleolar RNA is filed under the name Candidatus Syntropharchaeum caldarium. RNAcentral describes it as "Candidatus Syntrophoarchaeum caldarius Small nucleolar RNA sR41". It matches the Rfam family "Small nucleolar RNA sR41". The record is from Rfam by way of RNAcentral. Lineage: Archaea; Methanobacteriati; Halobacteriota; Candidatus Syntropharchaeia; Candidatus Syntropharchaeales.